This is a long non-coding RNA of Gossypium arboreum, 247 nucleotides long. RefSeq lists it as uncharacterized. The record is from RefSeq and is a predicted model, not a curated record. NCBI's taxonomy places the organism in Eukaryota, Viridiplantae, Streptophyta, Magnoliopsida, Malvales, Malvaceae. The transcript is spliced from 2 exons.
AUGGCCGAAUAUAGCAAGGAGAAACCAUGGCUAUGGUUUUUCAAGCUUCCAAGCUCGAUUGUAAUUUUGAACAAGCCAGCUCGGGAAUCGGGACGGGUCGAAGGUUCGAUCACACUAUCCAAAGGACUUUCAUCUGGGUAAAUGGCUUGUAAAACUUAAGUGUGGCAUGUAUAGCAAUAUAUUUAUUUUGUGGAAAUAAUUUUAUGAUAUGGCCAUGAUUGGUUGAGAAAAUGUUUGAUAUUGAUAA